Molecule: transfer-messenger RNA, 355 nt
Filed under: Candidatus Yanofskybacteria bacterium RIFCSPHIGHO2_01_FULL_44_17
Lineage: Bacteria; Candidatus Yanofskyibacteriota
Also listed under: 1 other name
Rfam family: transfer-messenger RNA
About the family: Bacterial tmRNA, also known as 10Sa RNA or SsrA, is named for its dual tRNA and mRNA-like properties.
Source: RNAcentral
GGGAGUGACCGGCUUCGAUGGGAUUUCUUUUAAAAUUUGCGCAAGUAGUGGAUGGAUAAUCACCACUUUAAUUUCCUUAUCCAAAAUCAUAAUUGCCAAUCAAAAUAGCAAUUACGCUUUAGCUUACGCUUAAGGCGCGUCCUCUCGGUGAUUUCUGCUAGCCGAAUCAGGGCGUCAUUAGCAGGAUAAGGUCCUAUUCUCUUUUCAAUGUUUUAGGGAUAGGAUACGAAAAACACAAAACAGGUAACAGGUUAUUUUGCCACGCCUUACUCUGUUACUAAAAAGUGUGGCUAAACUUGUAGUGCGUUUUUAAAUCAUCUUCCAGACUGGGGUUCAACUCCCCACACUUCCACCG